GCUCUGCACCCUCCCCCCUUGCUCACCACCGCCAGCAGCAGCAGCAAAGAACUAUCUUUGAGCAGCAGUGUGCAAGUAUUACCUACAAAGAAACCGCUUUGAUAAGAUCGCCACGUGUAAUUUCCAUGGAAAUGCAAGCUAGAAAGAAAAGGAUGUUAGAACGAACAUCAAUCAGCAGCUAAGGAUGCAGAAAUAACCAAGACUAUUCGGUUCGUUCAUUAUCCAGACCAGGUUUCAGACUGCACUUGGUCAGGUUUCACCAUACAUUGAUAUGACUAAUCAUUUAUCGGAACAUGACAAAAGGCAAUCAACAGAGUCAAACAAUCAACAGGUGCGCUGAAGUCAUCUUAUUUAUUCCAAGUACCCCCUCCCCAAUGCUAGUUGUCGUAGUUCCGCUGUUCGCAUCCUUGUAUCUCUUCAUUAUCACCUCUUACCCAGCCAAAAAUAGGCCAUUAUGGGCUCCAUUCUUCCUUGGCCAUCUGAUGUCAGCCCAGAUUUGGUCUGGCCUUUUCUUACUUACAGUUCCC
Long non-coding RNA from Amblyraja radiata (thorny skate), 527 nucleotides. RefSeq lists it as uncharacterized. The transcript is spliced from 3 exons. Lineage: Eukaryota; Metazoa; Chordata; Chondrichthyes; Rajiformes; Rajidae. The record is from RefSeq and is a predicted model, not a curated record.